CUUAAGCAUAUCAAUAAGCGGAGGAAAAGAAACCAACAGGGAUUGCCCUAGUAACGGCGAGUGAAGCGGCAACAGCUCAAAUUUGAAAUCUGGCGCAAGCCCGAGUUGUAAUUUGCAGAGGAUGCUUCUGGGCAGCGGCCGGUCUAAGUUCCUUGGAACAGGACGUCACAGAGGGUGAGAAUCCCGUAUGUGACCGGCGCGCACCCUCCACGUAGCUCCUUCGACGAGUCGAGUUGUUUGGGAAUGCAGCUCUAAAUGGGAGGUAAAUUUCUUCUAAAGCUAAAUACCGGCCAGAGACCGAUAGCGCACAAGUAGAGUGAUCGAAAGAUGAAAAGCACUUUGGAAAGAGAGUUAAAAAGCACGUGAAAUUGUUGAAAGGGAAGCGCUUGCAACCAGACUCCGUGGCGGUGUUCCGCCGGUCUUCUGACCGGUCCACUCGCCGCCGCGGGGCCAACAUCGUCUGGGGCCGCCGGACAAGACUGGAGGAAUGUGGCUCCCUCGGGAGUGUUAUAGCCCUCAGUGAUGCGGCGUGCCCCGGGCGAGGUCCGCGCUUCGGCAAGGAUGUUGGCGUAAUGGUUGCCAGCGGCCCGUCUUGAAACACGGACCAAGGAGUCUAACAUCUAUGCGAGUGUUCGGGUGUCAAACCCCUACGCGUAAUGAAAGUGAACGGAGGUGGGAGCUUCGGCGCACCAUCGACCGAUCCUGAUGUCCUCGGAUGGAUUUGAGUAAGAGCAUAGCUGUUGGGACCCGAAAGAUGGUGAACUAUGCCUGAAUAGGGUGAAGCCAGAGGAAACUCUGGUGGAGGCUCGCAGCGGUUCUGACGUGCAAAUCGAUCGUCAAAUUUGGGUAUAGGGGCGAAAGACUAAUCGAACCAU
This 875-nucleotide ribosomal RNA is filed under the name Microcyclosporella sp. CBS 118969. RNAcentral's name for it is "eukaryotic LSU rRNA". It matches the Rfam family "Eukaryotic large subunit ribosomal RNA", at positions 33 to 943 of the family's 3401-position model. The record is from RNAcentral. Lineage: Eukaryota; Fungi; Ascomycota; Dothideomycetes; Mycosphaerellales; Mycosphaerellaceae.